This 460-nucleotide ribosomal RNA is filed under the name uncultured bacterium. Its description in RNAcentral is "partial 16S ribosomal RNA". It matches the Rfam family "Bacterial small subunit ribosomal RNA", at positions 338 to 795 of the family's 1533-position model. The record is from RNAcentral.
CCUACGGGUGGCAGCAGUGAGGAAUAUUGGUCAAUGGGCGCGAGCCUGAACCAGCCAAGUAGCGUGAAGGAUGACUGCCCUACGGGUUGUAAACUUCUUUUAUAAAGGAAUAAAGUGAGGCACGUGUGCCUCUUUGUAUGUACUUUAUGAAUAAGGAUCGGCUAACUCCGUGCCAGCAGCCGCGGUAAUACGGAGGAUCCGAGGGUUAUUCGGUUUUAUUGGGUUUAAAGGGAGCGUAGAGGGGUUGUUAAGUCAGUGGUGAAAGUUUGAGGCUCAACCGUAAAAUUGCAAUUGAUACUGGCAGCCUUGAGUACAGUUGAGGUAGGCGGAAUUCGUGGUGUAGCGGUGAAAUGCUUAGAUAGCACGAAGAACUCCGAUUGCGAAGGCAGCCUACUAAACUGCCACUGACAUUGAUGCUCGAAAGUGUGGGUAUCAAACAGGAUUAGAUACCCGUGUAGUC